CCUUGGCCUUGACAUACUAAGAACUUUCCAGAGAUGGAUUGGUGCCUUCGGGAACUUAGAUACAGGUGCUGCAUGGCUGUCGUCAGCUCGUGUCGUGAGAUGUUGGGUUAAGUCCGCAACGAGCGCAACCCUUUUCCUUAUUUGCCAGCGGGUAAUGCCGGGAACUUUAAGGAUACUGCCAGUGACAAACUGGAGGAAGGCGGGGACGACGUCAAGUCAUCAUGGCCCUUACGGCCAGGGCUACACACGUGCUACAAUGGUCGGUACAAAGGGUUGCUACCUCGCGAGAGGAUGCUAAUCUCAAAAAGCCGAUCGUAGUCCGGAUCGCAGUCUGCAACUCGACUGCGUGAAGUCGGAAUCGCUAGUAAUCGCGGAUCAGAAUGCCGCGGUGAAUACGUUCCCGGGCCUUGUACACACCGCCCGUCACACCAUGGGAGUUUGUUGCACCAGAAGUAGGUAGUCUAACCGCAAGGAGGACGCUUACCACGGUGUGGCCGAUGACUGGGGUGAAGUCGUAACAAGGUAGGCGUAGAUGA
This 536-nucleotide ribosomal RNA is filed under the name uncultured bacterium. RNAcentral describes it as "bacterial SSU rRNA". It matches the Rfam family "Bacterial small subunit ribosomal RNA", at positions 973 to 1509 of the family's 1533-position model. The record is from RNAcentral.